This 77-nucleotide transfer RNA is filed under the name Alphaproteobacteria bacterium. Its description in RNAcentral is "tRNA-Arg". It matches the Rfam family "tRNA". Rfam says of the family: Transfer RNA (tRNA) molecules are approximately 80 nucleotides in length. Their secondary structure includes four short double-helical elements and three loops (D, anti-codon, and T loops). Further hydrogen bonds mediate the characteristic L-shaped molecular structure. tRNAs have two regions of fundamental functional importance: the anti-codon, which is responsible for specific mRNA codon recognition, and the 3' end, to which the tRNAs corresponding amino acid is attached (by aminoacyl-tRNA synthetases). tRNAs cope with the degeneracy of the genetic code in two manners: having more than one tRNA (with a specific anti-codon) for a particular amino acid; and 'wobble' base-pairing, i.e. permitting non-standard base-pairing at the 3rd anti-codon position. Lineage: Bacteria; Pseudomonadati; Pseudomonadota; Alphaproteobacteria. The record is from RNAcentral.
GCGCCCAUAGCUCAGUUGGAUAGAGCAACUGCCUUCUAAGCAGUCGGUCGGGGGUUCGAAUCCUCCUGGGCGCGCCA